UUUUUAAUAUCAAGAUAUCCGCUUGCCAGCAUCAAACACUAGCAAACAAGCUAGAGAGAAUAAUUAUAUAAAUUUUGAACCACCGACCAGAGGUGUUCCGAAAUACUUUUUUUUACUGAUCUCAACUACAAAUAAGCACACAAGGCAAGCUUUAACUUCGAAAGAAAGUUUGACCAGUAAUAAAUCAGACAGUUUGAAUUUCCACGAAUCUACCAUGGGUAUCUCUAUGAGCAAUCAGUGUCGUAUAAACAUUAUUCAAGUGCUCCGUUGGUUCAAAGCGGUGAUGCAAGAAGACGAGAUAUUCCAGAUGAAGGAGCGAAACCCUUACUCGAAACUUACAAAGAUUGUUCAUCACCUGAUAACAGAAUCUGAAUACGAAAGACGAAGAAUGCGGAAAGAAAAGGUUAAAGAAACAUAGAUUAGAACGUACGCGCGGUACGUGCAAAAAUAAAUAUAGGUAAAUAAAAAUAAUCUCCAAAUUUUGCAACUAUAAAAGUUAUUAUUCUUUCAAGGCGGAUUUGCAUGAAUCCUUAAUAAGAGAUUAAAGUUUCUUAUAUCACAGAACUGUCGGAAGGAGCAACGUUUCCCACGUUACCGAUAAUAAUUACAGUUCCAAUAUUAUGUCAUAUCCUUUCUGUCAUAUUUUUCCACGGCGCGAAUACACCCUUUAUGUGCAUGUAUAUUGCCUUCUUGUAAACAUCCAUAUUUUAGAAACUCGUAUUGCAUACACAAUAGCCGUCGUUACUGUAAAUCUAAUACCGAUCGAUUAAUCAAAGUACGCGUUUUUAUCCAUCGAUAAAUUUAUCUUUACGCUAAUAUCAAAAUUAAGGCUUACAAAUUUUUUGUUAAUAUUCUCUGCAAUUAUUUUUCUUAUUAAACUCUAAAUCACCUUAAUAUAACUCUAAAAGAAUCACUAUAUUCUCUACAUAGACGCAUUCCCCUGAUUUAUUCUUCUUUCCUUCUAUCAUUCUUCUAUCUUUCCGUUUUACAAUGUCAAAAUAUCUCGAAUCCAUAUUCCUGGGUAAUCUUAUCAACCUCAUAAAGUGUUUAUAUCGCGUUUGUAUUAUACGAUCGAUCAAACGCAACUAUCUGCACGUCGCGUCUUGAAAGCGACUUCGCCAUCCCAUUUCGUUAACAUUUUUACUGGUUGCAGCAACAGCAAGACUAUUUCAUCCUUCCCUCUAGAAAUUCCGCGAACACAGGCAGCUACAGCAGCGGAUGCCAACCUUUUCUACGUUUUACUCAUACGUUUUCAUCGCCGUAUCUCGCCAGGACUGCGCACGCUUCCGAUUUUUUCUAUCGGUGGCUCUAACCGUACAUCCUCUCGUUUCCGGCUGCUCGUAGAUCAACGAAUACUGGAUUCCAUUGCUAGCUCUGUUACGACAUCGCGUGCAUCGGCCUGAUCUAACACACUUCAAAGCUACACCCUCGUGUACUCUAUACGUACUUACUACGUGAAUACUUUGACUAGAAAUUCACAAUCUGCUCGGUGGUUGGGUUGAUUUAUACCGAAGAACGGAUGUACAUGAGAGUAUCAAACGUACAAGAACCGUGUACACCGGAUGCGUAUUUCAGAGAACGAAAAGUAAAAUCGUAGACGCGAGACAAAUAGAAAGGUGGAAUAUAAAACGGAGUGAACGGCAAAAUUUGAUGGGGAAAUUUUACGACAUGGAUGACGCUUUGAAUCGUGGCAGAGAUAUACGGCAACAAUGUCGGUAUCGACAACCGCGAAACUUUGUGAAGCCGGCAUGCAAAAUGACCAACAAAAUUGCUUUAAUCUCGCCCCUUUCUUUUUCCUUUACCGAAACACGCUGCGAUACAGCAACUAAGUUUUUAGUUCCCUCUAUGAGCUACUGAGCACAUUCGUUCACUCAAGACAAAAGAGUUUCAAGGCGUAUCAUUGAAAGAUAAAGCGGCGUGCCACGCUGAAAAGGGAGCCACACAUGAAACGAAAGAAUGGCACUUUGCACAGCAAAAUGGGACGAGUACGAGACCAUGAAUAUUUCCAGUAGGGUUGGUUUGGUAGGAUUUAUCACGAAUUUCUACUACAUAUCGAAAUUCUAAGUUUGGAAAAAUACCAGUUCUGUUUCGAAAGAGGAACUGAAAUCGAUUAACGUUAGCCAUUUAAACCAUUCAAUCGAAUAUUUGUGAAAAAUAAUUGGUAAUUGGUCAUGGAAUAAUUCGGUGGUACGCAAAUGUUUCGAAGCAACGACGAACUAUGUAAACGAUUCAAAGUAUAUCGUUCUGAGCCGAAGUCUUGAUCAGGUAAAUUGGGGUUAGGUUGGUGUCCAUUCCGGAUUUUGGAAACUUACCAUUAAAAACACUGAAACUUAAAAUUGUCUGAAGUUCGUUAUACGUAUAAUAAUAAAAAUAUGUAAUAUUAUGGUUUAAUGAAUAUGUAAGUAAGAAUUAGUUCUUAAUUGUAAUAAGUCAGGUGUAAGUAUCUUUUAACAAAUAAGUCUCACAAAUAUUUCCUAUUAUUUUUUUCAAAAUUAAAUUAUUAUAUACGCAUGAUUUUACUGCAAGUUCUACACCGUGUCUGCUCCGAAACGUUUAUGGAAAGAUGAAGGAUUCAAAUAAGAUACUGAAUGAAGAAGUUUAGUCGAAUUUAUGACCUUAAUCAAAACUAUUUAACUUGCUUUUGAUGCAGUUAUAACAAAAACGUGGAAGUUAUUAAUGAUUCAGGAGAAAAUUGGUAUGUACUAAUACACAGAAGCAGAACUUUCUAGUGAAGAUCAAGAACCUCAUAAAUUGCGAAUAAAGUUAAUUGGGCGGAAAACUGCGUCCUACAAUUGGCUCUUAAGAAAUUGCUGAAUGCUUUGUCUGAUUCAUUAUGCGAGAAUUUAAUAUCUCUUUAGAUAUAUUCUAUAUAUAAAGAACCUUCAUGAUUAUAAAAACCAUCACCAUUUCAUUAAAAGUAAAUCAAAAACCGAAAAAUGUAUAUAAUUCGCUUCUCUACAUCACAUAAAAUAUUCCUCUUUUGUUUAAAAUAAAAUUUUAACAAAAUUAAAACCAACGACUGGAAUGAAACUGAAACUCGCUAACGUUAAAAUAAUUAACUUUAAUACCAUAUUUUUAUCUUUCUACACGCACGCACAAAUACAUAAAUAUGUACCUACACUGAAUAUUAUUAUUCAACGCACACUUUUAUACAUCUACAAACGUAUGACGUACAUUCUCGUAAAAGCGGAAACCCACGUUUGUAUCUACACCUCUAUGCGCAUACAUAUCCUUAAAUAGUAGUCAAGCCGAUCCUCAAGAGUUCAUUAUAAACGCCAGCCAACCAACCGACCUUUCCUCUUAACUCGGAAACUCACUUUACCACAGCCAUAUAGGCGCUACUUCGCGAUUUUCUGAAUUACUAAAUAAAAAAAAGUCAUUUAAUUUCGCGUGUAAAAUUUACAGACAGACUCGUUGAAAUGCCCCGGCUACGCUAGCAAACUAUCCCUAAUUUCAAGAAUCAUUUGCUCAUUUUUUUUUCAACUUACUCCUGAAUUUCAUAUAACCUGGUUAAAGCAUUGUGGAAUAUUAAUCAAUUAAUGGGAAAUGGAAAAUUAAUGGAAAAUAUCAAGAAAUGUUUAAAAGUUAAUCAAACAUUUGAACAUAUGAGUUUUCACAUAAGAAAUGAAAUAUGUAUCUUGUAAAAUAUUGAUUUUUCAAUGACUAUUCACGAAUGACGGUGAUUUUUCCUAAUCUCCUAAUCUCGUUUAAAAGAGGUAGCUUAGCUAAGUUGAUAGAAUUAUCAUGUAUACAUAUUUAUAAUAAUUUGCAAACCUUACAGAUUUAGACGAGCGUAUGCAUUUCAGAAUGUGUUGUGGGACACACAUGAAUGAGCUCAAGAGGGAGGAAGUAUAUAUUUAAAUUGAAGUAAAAUAAGUAUCCGUGAAGCGGUACACAUAUUUAUGUUGCGAUAAAAAAUAUCGCUGUUGAAACGACCGUGCAACGCGCUUUUUUUAUAAAUAAAUGUUAUAGAGAGGAUAUAGAUGCUUGGGUUGAAAUUAAAGGUUUAUGGGGAAAUAAAUCUAAACUAAGUGGGACAGUUUUUUGGGAAUUAAAUGCAUCGCCUUUUAUAACAUCCUAUGACAUACGUAUAAUGUUUAUUAGCAUUGUAGGUAAUAAAAAUUUGUGUCCGAAGUGAGCAUAUUUUAAAUAGAUGAAUUUUCGCAUAGCAUAAUAUGUAUCAAGAAAAAGUUCUUUACAAAUUAAUGGGCAAAAAUAUACAAUAUGUAAUUAUUACUCGGUAAGCAUAAAACAAUAUAUAGCGCACAGAAACUUCGCUAACGAGUCUCCUCGCAGAAAUUUAUUAUAAUUACGUAGGAGAGUUGGAAACGCCUGUUUCUGAUGUAUAGAACUUCAUUUUAGGUCCAUUAAAGGAUGGCAUGGAAACGGAAUUACGAAAGUGUCGUUUUUGUUACCAUAUUGCACCGAAAACUUUUUCCAUUAAUAUUACGAACCCUUAUAUUGUACUCUAUGCCAAUAAAUCGACCCUCGUGAACAAAUUUAGGGGAUGCCCAAACAAUAAAUGGGGUGGUGCAAAAGCAAAUACAAGUGAUCUUUUUCUGCCACCAGCUACAUAGUGAUGCUGUGUCUGUG
Molecule: long non-coding RNA, 4593 nt
Organism: Bombus impatiens (common eastern bumble bee)
Lineage: Eukaryota; Metazoa; Arthropoda; Insecta; Hymenoptera; Apidae
Exons: 4
Source: RefSeq, a predicted model, not a curated record